Molecule: transfer RNA, 68 nt
Filed under: Marmota monax (woodchuck)
Lineage: Eukaryota; Metazoa; Chordata; Mammalia; Rodentia; Sciuridae
Description: tRNA.Ala
Source: RNAcentral
GGUUUGUAGCUCAGUGGUAGAGCGCUUGCCUAGCACAAGUGAGUCCCAGGGUUUGAGCCUCAGCACCA